GCUGGAGCUCCUAUUACCAGGAGGGCUUGUUACUGGACGGCUUUGGGUGACUUUCUUGUGAAGCUUAGGUUUUAUUCUACCUCACGUGUAUAAAGAAAUUGAUGAAGAGAAAGAAAUCAACUUUUACUUGUAGAGAUUAAAUGGCCAUUGUGGUUGAUGAUGUAUAGAUGGAGAGAACACUUCUCAGACGAGCUUUACAGAUACACCAAUUGUUUGCUGGGGAUUGAUACUAGAUUGUGCGAUGCUGAACCUCAAACUCUCUCACAAUCCACUCAUACAAUAUAGGCCAAUACGAACCUCUGAUUUAGAAGUACUUGAAAAAAUUCAUGGGGAUCUGUUCCCAAUCAGAUAUGAGUCUGAGUUCUUCCAAAAUGUUGUUAAUGGACGAGACAUUGUGUCAUGGGGAGCUGUUGAUCGUAAUCGACCCAAUGAGCAGAGCGACGAACUUAUUGGAUUUGUGACUGCCAGGACUGUUCUAGCAAAAGACAGUGACAUAGAAGAAUUUCUGAGGUAUGACUCAUCUAGAUCAGAGCAAACACUUAUUUACAUCUUGACUCUGGGGGUUGCAGACUCUUAUAGAAAUCUUGGAAUAGCCAGUUCUCUCAUUCGCGAAGUCAUAAAAUAUGCCUCUAACAUCCCAACUUGUCGAGCAGUUUACCUACAUGUGAUCUCAUAUAAUAACCCUGCCAUAUACUUGUACAAGAAAAUGUCAUUUCAAUGUGUGAGGAGGCUGUCUGCCUUUUAUUUUAUUAAUGAUCAGCAUUACGAUGCGUACUUGUUCAUCUACUAUGUGAAUGGUGGUCGCUCUCCUUGCUCACCCUUAGAGCUCAUUAAGCUUAUAGUUACUGGAGCAAAGAGUGGAUACAGGAUGGUAGCUGCCAAGCUUUGGAGGAAAGAAGACAGAAAGCCUUCCAAGUGGUCCAAAUGCAAGGAGUCUGGCUCCCUUCUUCCAACAAAACAUAACAAGAGGAUGCCAACCGAGGGUGCUCUGUCUCAAUUCGUUUAAUCCUCUACUAGCUUCUGCAUUUUAGUUGACAUUGGAAAUGGAUACAAACGUUUGGAAAGAAAUGUUAUUUAAUCUUCUAUCGCGUCGUUUUAACAGUGUGUUUUACUUGUACCUAGAAGAACAAACCAUUUCUGAUGUUCUUCAUCUUCUGUGCUUGUGAUUUACUUGUUGAUUUGUAAAUUCUUUUGAAAAGUCACCCAAAAAAUUUAAUAAUAUGUGUCGAG
Molecule: unclassified non-coding RNA, 1230 nt
Filed under: Hevea brasiliensis (rubber tree)
Lineage: Eukaryota; Viridiplantae; Streptophyta; Magnoliopsida; Malpighiales; Euphorbiaceae
Source: RNAcentral